RNAcentral lists this ribosomal RNA (620 nucleotides) under Enterobacteriaceae bacterium EKM104E. RNAcentral describes it as "bacterial SSU rRNA". It matches the Rfam family "Bacterial small subunit ribosomal RNA", at positions 867 to 1487 of the family's 1533-position model. The record is from RNAcentral. Lineage: Bacteria; Pseudomonadati; Pseudomonadota; Gammaproteobacteria; Enterobacterales; Enterobacteriaceae.
GACCGCCUGGGGAGUACGGCCGCAAGGUUAAAACUCAAAUGAAUUGACGGGGGCCCGCACAAGCGGUGGAGCAUGUGGUUUAAUUCGAUGCAACGCGAAGAACCUUACCUACUCUUGACAUCCAGAGAACUUUCCAGAGAUGGAUUGGUGCCUUCGGGAACUCUGAGACAGGUGCUGCAUGGCUGUCGUCAGCUCGUGUUGUGAAAUGUUGGGUUAAGUCCCGCAACGAGCGCAACCCUUAUCCUUUGUUGCCAGCGGUUAGGCCGGGAACUCAAAGGAGACUGCCAGUGAUAAACUGGAGGAAGGUGGGGAUGACGUCAAGUCAUCAUGGCCCUUACGAGUAGGGCUACACACGUGCUACAAUGGCGCAUACAAAGAGAAGCGACCUCGCGAGAGCAAGCGGACCUCAUAAAGUGCGUCGUAGUCCGGAUUGGAGUCUGCAACUCGACUCCAUGAAGUCGGAAUCGCUAGUAAUCGUGGAUCAGAAUGCCACGGUGAAUACGUUCCCGGGCCUUGUACACACCGCCCGUCACACCAUGGGAGUGGGUUGCAAAAGAAGUAGGUAGCUUAACCUUCGGGAGGGCGCUUACCACUUUGUGAUUCAUGACUGGGGUGAAGUC